GGGGAAUUUUGCGCAAUGGGCGCAAGCCUGACGCAGCAACGCCGCGUGGAGGAUGAAGGUUUUCGGAUUGUAAACUCCUGUCCCGGGGGAAGAAGGCAGUGACGGUACCCUGGGAGGAAGCCCCGGCUAACUCCGUGCCUGCAGCCGCGGUAAUACGGGGGGGGCGAGCGUUGUUCGGAAUAACUGGGCGUAAAGGGCGCGUAGGCGGCCUGGGCAGUCCUGGGGGAAAGCCCCCGGCUCAACCGGGGAAGGGCCUGGGAAACCACUGGGCUGGAGUGCUGGAGAGGGAGGCGGAAUUCCUGGUGUAGCGGUGAAAUGCGUAGAGAUCAGGAGGAACAUCGGCGGCGAAGGCGGCCUUCUGGACAGACACUGACGCUGAGGCGCGAAAGCCGGGGGAGCAAAC
RNAcentral lists this ribosomal RNA (403 nucleotides) under uncultured bacterium. RNAcentral describes it as "bacterial SSU rRNA". It matches the Rfam family "Bacterial small subunit ribosomal RNA", at positions 356 to 773 of the family's 1533-position model. The record is from RNAcentral.